GAUGAACGCUGGCGGCGUGCCUAAUACAUGCAAGUAGAACGCUGAAGGAAGGAGCUUGCUCUUUCCGGAUGAGUUGCGAACGGGUGAGUAACGCGUAGGUAACCUGCCUGGUAGCGGGGGAUAACUAUUGGAAACGAUAGCUAAUACCGCAUAACAGUAGAUGUUGCAUGAUAUCUACUUAAAAGGUGCAAUUGCACCACUACCAGAUGGACCUGCGUUGUAUUAGCUAGUUGGUGAGGUAACGGCUCACCAAGGCGACGAUACAUAGCCGACCUGAGAGGGUGAUCGGCCACACUGGGACUGAGACACGGCCCAGACUCCUACGGGAGGCAGCAGUAGGGAAUCUUCGGCAAUGGACGGAAGGCUGACCGAGCAACGCCGCGUGAGUGAAGAAGGUUUUCGGAUCGUAAAGCUCUGUUGUAAGAGAAGAACGAGUGUGAGAGUGGAAAGUUCACACUGUGACGGUAUCUUACCAGAAAGGGACGGCUAACUACGUG
Molecule: ribosomal RNA, 497 nt
Filed under: uncultured bacterium
Lineage: Bacteria
Description: partial 16S ribosomal RNA
Rfam family: Bacterial small subunit ribosomal RNA
Source: RNAcentral